GGUGUUACAAUUAUGAUCACUUGUAGCAUAUGCAUCUGCUGAUGCAUUAUGUUGUAUAUAUUGGAAGUUUUGUGUAAUUUCUAUAUGCGAUGUAGUGCUCAUCUAGAUAGUGGAUUCUACUUCUUGUUUGAUGUCAACUGUUGAUAGUGUUGAAAAUAUAAACAAAGUCAGAAAUAGCAGCAGUCAAGGCUCCCAACAUCAGUCAAAAAUUAACCAAAAUCCCUUAAUCAUAGGGAUCCUUGUAUGACUGUGUAGAAGUGUAAUAUUGACUGUCAUCUCCUCUUCAAGCGUACACUUACACUAUAAAAGGGAUGAUUGUAAUGAGAAAUAUAAGAAAUACAAUAACAACUGUAUCUCCAACCUUUCAAACCAAGGCAGUCAACUGUCAUUUUUUUCUUUUUUUUCCCUGCAGAAAACAGUACGAAAAUGUCAGGGGAAUUACAAAAUAUAGACCAGAAUGCAGAUACAAUCGAACUAACCCAACAAAUCGCCAAUAUGAUGCGAAACUCCGACAACAUCGUGCUCGGAUUCAAGCUAGAUGGCAACAACUAUCCACUAUGGUCACGCCUCAUGAAGGUAGCCAUAGGCAGUAGAGGCAGAACCAGACACAUUACCGGACAACCACCACCUCCAGACACCACAGAUCCCAAUUACUACAAAUGGGAAGAAACGGAUUUGACCGUUUUUUGCUGGCUAUUACAGAAUAUGGACGGGAAAUUAGUAAUGAAUUUUUCCCAACAUCAAACAGCCAAAGCCGUGUGGGAUAGCUUAGCAGUAACCUAUGGGAGUGGAGCCACAGAUCCACUCCAAAUUUACGACUUGGAAGUAAAAGCGAAUAAGGUGAAUCAGGGGCAACUCACUCUAGAGGAAUAUUGGAACGAAGUAAAAGCGAAUAAGGUGAAUCAGGGGCAACUCACUCUAGAGGAAUAUUGGAACGAAUUACAAACCAUAUGGCUCAAUAUCGACAGGAGGGAGCCGAAUCCGUUGGGCUGUUGUGAAGAAGGCAUCACCAAAUACCAGAAACUGAUCGGAAAUCGGCGGUUGUACCAAUUCCUCUCCGGAUUAGAUACAAAAUACGACAACGUCCGUCGGGAUAUCCUCAAGGAAACCCCGGCUCCCUCAGCGGAGUCGGCUUUCUCAAAAGUUAGAAGGGAGGCCGCCCGGCUACAAAUUUUGCAGCCGGCAACCAACCAUUCCGACAUCAACGCAUCAUCAUCGGGAGGGAUUGGAACCGGCCUCGCCACCGUUCACCACCAUACCCAACAGUCUAUAUCCCGGCCGCCACACAUCGCCGCCGGCCGAGGCAACCCACCACGCUCCGGGAACACUUCAAAUCGCAAGAAAGAGGACAAAUCAAAACUCUAUUGUACUCAUUGCGGCAUGAACAAACACAUUAAAGAAAUGUGUUUUCAAAUUAUUGGUUACCCGGAGUGGUGGGAAAACAAUUCCAAGGUUGCGAAAGGGAAAAUGGCGGACGGAAGUGGAGGAAAUUCGGAGCAGAUCGGAGCAACACCGACCGGAUCGGCGGUGGCCAUGGCUGUCGACCGACUGGCAGCCUCUGGACCGUGGGGCGCGAGGGAGAUAUCGGCGGCUGGAAAUCAGUCGCCGCUGACCGUGGGGGCGGCGGCACCGGCCGUGGACCGACCGGCGGUGGCGGCAGCGGUUGUGGAUCGUCCGGCAGCGGCUGCAGGACCAAGGAAGGGAGGAGGCGCAGCCUUGUUUGAUGGAGGCGCAGAAUUAGGUAUAGGGUUCACACCAAACCCCCUAACUUCUUCAUAUUCUUAUAAAAGACCCCAUGUUUUGCCCUUAGGUCCCUCGAAUUUUCGAAAUUUGAAAAUACCACCCCUGAACUAUUCUGAAUUUCAGAAAGAACCCCAUCUUAUGAAAACUAACUCCCUAGUUUUUCAUAAAUUAAAAAAACACCCCAAACCUUUGUGUGAUACCUCAAAAUAUCAGCCUUUUAUGUAGAAAAUCCCUAAAAUCUUCCGCUACAUAUCAAAACUCAUCUGAUAAUAGGGAUAGGGAUAAAAGGUGGAUUUUUAUUGUGGAGCCACUGAUACGAUGACUUUUGAUAAAACUGAUAUCAUUAAGCCAUCAGCACCAUACCGAACACAUGUUCAAACUGCAAAUGGUGACUUAACCCGUGUUGAAGGGGCUGGAACCAUAGAAAUCUCUCCUACUAUGCACCUCUCAAACUGUCUUUAUGUCCCUUCUCUAUCUCAUAAACUCUUGUCUAUUAGCCAUGUUACAGAAGAACUAAAUUGUACCAUGCUAAUGAAUCCUCAAUUCUGUCUUCUUCAGGAUA
This 2305-nucleotide long non-coding RNA is filed under the name Salvia miltiorrhiza (redroot sage). Its description in RNAcentral is "long non-coding RNA (SMIL_LNC007049)". The record is from RNAcentral. Lineage: Eukaryota; Viridiplantae; Streptophyta; Magnoliopsida; Lamiales; Lamiaceae.